GCGGGAGGAGGAGCCACUCCGGUCCACUCUAAGGAGUUGUCGACGUUGAAUUCAACAUCGUCGGCGGGAGCCUCCUCCCGGGCGGGACAACCGGACAAGGUAGAUGACGAAGAGGGAGAGGAGGUCGACGCAGCCGCAUCGUCAGCAUACCCCCGACCUUCAUUCUCGAACUCAUCGGAGGACCACGACGACGUAGACAUUUACCUGAGUAACCGGAGGAAGGAAACAGGAGGACGGGAAGAGAGUAGAGUAGGAACGGGAAUCGGAGAGCAGGUGGAAGAGGAUGGGGGAAUGAGGAGGGGGCCCUCCACCUUUUAUAGCCGAAAAAGGGGCUCCAAGAGAACAUCUCAGCCGUCCAUCGAUGACAAAUCUAACGGAGGAAAAUUUGUGACUCUUCGGUGAACAGGUGUGAUUGAUGGGGGAGAAGAUCAUGGCCGUUGCUGAGUACAGGAUCGAAUGGCUGUGGUGACGAGACGUUUCGUUGCCAAAAACAUUCUGAGAUCUUAAACCCCUUCGCUAAUCGAAGACGCUCGGGGCUUGGGGGGCUUGUGUAGUGGAGGAGGGUCGGUCGAGUCGGCCGGAUCAAGCGUAGUGGAGGAAGCCCGGUCGGGCUGGCUACCAAAGUUGCAGGGGGCGAAGGCGACCUAAGGUCGGACGGCGUGGAUCAAGCGGAUGUGGGGCUGAAGAAGCAUUAAAAGGCUUUGAUGGAGAUGUAACGGAAAACAUAGCAAAUCAAUGAAAUUAAUGGUCAGUUACGAAUACGCAAUCUAUAAAUAGGGACAGCAGAACAGGUAAAGUAAGUUUUGAAUCCAAUUUAAAUCGGUUCAGUUAACUGAUCCACUAUCUGACUUGGGCGUCAGAGUGUUCUUUUUGCAGGAUCUCCCGGUUGAUCCUUACGAGACACCGCUAGGACGAACGGGUCGGACGAUCGGAAACAGGACCAGCAGGUUGGUUCGGUCUCGGACUCUAACACCGAAACACUUUUAAAUUCAAAUAAAAAAUUAUUUU
Molecule: long non-coding RNA, 1008 nt
Filed under: Vigna radiata
Lineage: Eukaryota; Viridiplantae; Streptophyta; Magnoliopsida; Fabales; Fabaceae
Description: long non-coding RNA (VRAD_LNC014280)
Source: RNAcentral